This 1409-nucleotide long non-coding RNA is filed under the name Vulpes vulpes (red fox). RNAcentral's name for it is "lncRNA (ENSVVUG00000014189.1)". Lineage: Eukaryota; Metazoa; Chordata; Mammalia; Carnivora; Canidae. The record is from RNAcentral.
GUCAGACUUAUUAGCUCCAGGCAUCACUUGCUUUCCUAUGUAUACUUUUCUACAGUGUAACUGCCAAGCAAAAUGACAAAAAGGCAAAUUUGCAAAGGAACAAGUUAGUGUUAUUGUUGUUGGUUGGGUAUUGUUCUCAAAGGAGCUGAAAUUCUUCUAUUUUAUCAACAAAAUGUGGUAUAAAGGAAUAUAUUGGCAGUGUGUAUCACCGCUAAGGCAGAAGUAUGUAGAAUGCUAUGUGAAUUUAAUAGUCAUAAGGACACAUUCUAAAAGAAUACGUAGUAUCUGUGUUUCCUGCCAAACAAGGAAAAAGUCACACUGGCUCAAAUCUCCAGGAAUGACUUGUAUGUUUCUUGUUCUUCUUGACAUCUGCGGUUUAGCUGAUAGUCACAAAGAACCUUCUAUUCGUCAUCCAACUUGGGCUCCAGAGAAUUCUUGCAAUUCCAUCAGGGACUGUUGAGAGAACUGUUUCAGGAAUGUGCUUCAUUCUAUUACUUCCUCAUAUAUAAAUGCUCUGCCUGAGUGGAACUCUGCAAAUGUCGCUGAGAACAAGUGCUCUGCUGGUCUAUUAUACAAUUAAGAGCAGAGGUUAUGAUACUUCUUUAUACCCUUUUAAUCUAAGACCUGGUACACAGUGGGUAAGCGAUACUUGUUUAAAUGAGCAGCCUCUGGUCAUACUGUUUUCCUCCCAGAAGUCCUCUGUUCUUACCUUUGCCUGCAUAACACCUAGCCUUCAAGGUCCCAUUCAAAUAUCAUGAGUUACUGUAAUUCAUAAGCUACCCACUUCCUCUCAUGUAUCUAUCUGGUAAUAACAUGUAUCUAUUUGGUAGCAUUUAUAUUCUGCUGUGAUUAUAAUUAUUUUUGUCAUUAUCUUAUGUCCUAAUUUUUCAGUGGCACGGAGAGCAGCGUACUAUGUCUCAUUCAAUUUUACUUCCUGCAAUGCCUAGCAUUUGGCUUUGACUAUCUUAACUGCCAGUGGCUAGUUGUUGAGUGAAUGAACAUGACUAACAAAAAUAUUAUUCAUUGUUUUGCCAUCCUCCAGAAAAAAAAAUCCUAUUUCCACAGAAGCAAAUCUACAUUACUUGCCAGGCUUCAGAGUCUCUCCCAUGUCUAUUCACAUCCUUUCUGUGUAACAUGAUUUUAGGUAGCUGCCCAAGUCCUACUGGCCUUCUCAGUAUUGCAGGGACAUGGCAUAUUUAUUCUUGCUCCUAUCUCCUUGCUGAUGUUUCCUAGGCCUGAGUCCAAUCCUGUCUUCAUUUCAACUACCCAAACCUUAUUUCAGGGCCCAUCUUAGUUUCUGAAUUCCCAAUGGAGCACUCCAUGAUUAUUUCGGCAAUGUUUCUUUUCUUUCACAACUGAAAGAAAUUAAUACACUUAAUUUAGUACUUAAUCAUAUAAAGACCCCCCCC